Molecule: ribosomal RNA, 253 nt
Filed under: uncultured bacterium
Lineage: Bacteria
Description: partial 16S ribosomal RNA
Rfam family: Bacterial small subunit ribosomal RNA
Source: RNAcentral
UACGGAGGGGGCUAGCGUUGUUCGGAAUUACUGGGCGUAAAGCGCGCGUAGGCGGAUCUGCAAGUCGGGGGUGAAAUCCCGAGGCUCAACCUCGGAACUGCCUUCGAUACUGCGGGUCUCGAGUCCGGGAGAGGCGAGUGGAAUUCCUAGUGUAGAGGUGAAAUUCGUAGAUAUUAGGAAGAACACCAGUGGCGAAGGCGGCUCACUGGCCCGGUACUGACGCUGAGGCGCGAAAGCGUGGGGAGCAAACAGG